RNAcentral lists this ribosomal RNA (440 nucleotides) under uncultured bacterium. Its description in RNAcentral is "partial 16S ribosomal RNA". It matches the Rfam family "Bacterial small subunit ribosomal RNA", at positions 338 to 795 of the family's 1533-position model. The record is from RNAcentral.
CCUACGGGAGGCAGCAGUAGGGAAUAUUCCUCAAUGGGGGAAACCCUGAAGCAGCAACGCCGCGUGGACGAUGAAGGUUUUCGGAUUGUAAACUCCUUUUGUCAGGGAAGAUAAUGACGUUAUCUAAUGCCUAAGCACUAGCUACCUCCGUGCUAGGAGCCGCCGUCAUCCGGAGGGCGCAAGCGUUACUCGGAAUCACUGGGCGUAAAGCGGGAGUAGGAGGGAUAGCAAGUCAGAUGUGAAAUCCUAUGGCUUAAACAUAGAACUGCAUAUGAAACUGCUAUUCUAGAGUAUGAGAGAGGUAGGUGGAAUUAUAGGUGUAGGGGUAAAAUGCGUAGAGAUAAAGAGGAAUACUAGUUGCGAAGGCGACCUGCUAGAACGUAACUGACACUGAUGUGCGAAAGCGUGGGGAGCAAACAGGAUUAGAUACCCUUGUAGUC